CUUUGAUGUCAUAAUUUAGAUUCUGCUUGAAUUUGCCCUCCCUGUCUUUGAAGUUGUCGAAUACUCCUGCAAGCACAUAGUAACCCUCUUGUCUCAACAGUCGAAAGCGAAGGGCAGCCUCAUGGAGAUCAUUAUAAUUAUUAGUGCUAUGUAUCAUAUGGUGCCUUUCCAGAAUUGAAUCAAUUUCUUCUUGGAAAUGAUACUCAAUGCCUAAGCGUUGGAUGGCAUCAACCAUGGCCAAACCUUCGAAUGCAUCUGCACGCUCUUUGCUUAGCAUGCUUCAACGCCUUCAACUUUUUAUGAUGAUUCUUGAUGUGAAAAUCAUCUUUAAUAAUGCAGGGCUGUUCAUCAGUUAGAUAGACCAAGUGAUUUGAGGAAGUAGAAGGCAAUGUGUUUUCUUGGGUGAUGCUCCAGUUUUCAGGAACAAUGGNNNNNNUGGUUGAAACACUUUGGAGUGCGGUUUUGAGGAAAUGGAAUGGGAGAUGAAAUAAAGGUUGCUUUAGAAGAGAAGGCCAUUGUGAGGGAGAGAUCUUUCAAAAAUCA
This 543-nucleotide unclassified non-coding RNA is filed under the name Hevea brasiliensis (rubber tree). The record is from RNAcentral. Lineage: Eukaryota; Viridiplantae; Streptophyta; Magnoliopsida; Malpighiales; Euphorbiaceae.